GAACGGAAAGGCCCUGCUUGCAGGGUACUCGAGUGGCGAACGGGUGAGUAACACGUGGGUGAUCUGCCCUGCACUUCGGGAUAAGCUUGGGAAACUGGGUCUAAUACCGGAUAGGAACCAUCUUUAGUGUGGUGGUUGGAAAGUUUUUUCGGUGUAGGAUGAGCUCGCGGCCUAUCAGCUUGUUGGUGGGGUAAUGGCCUACCAAGGCGGCGACGGGUAGCCGGCCUGAGAGGGUGUACGGCCACAAUUGGGACUGAGAUACGGCCCAGACUCCUACGGGAGGCAGCAGUGGGGAAUAUUGCACAAUGGGCGCAAGCCUGAUUCAGCGACGCCGCGUGGGGGAUGAAGGCCUUCGGGUUGUAAACUCCUUUCGCUAGGGACGAAGCUUUUUGUGACGGUACCUAGAUAAGAAGCACCGGCUAACUACGUGCCAGCAGCCGCGGUAAUACGUAGGGUGCGAGCGUUGUCCGGAAUUACUGGGCGUAAAGGGCUCGUAGGUGGUUUGUCGCGUCGUCUGUGAAAUUCUGGGGCUUAACUCCGGGCGUGCAGGCGAUACGGGCAUAACUUGAGUGCUGUAGGGGUAACUGGAAUUCCUGGUGUAGCGGUGAAAUGCGCAGAUAUCAGGAGGAACACCGAUGGCGAAGGCAGGUUACUGGGC
This 658-nucleotide ribosomal RNA is filed under the name uncultured Actinomycetales bacterium. RNAcentral describes it as "bacterial SSU rRNA". It matches the Rfam family "Bacterial small subunit ribosomal RNA", at positions 64 to 734 of the family's 1533-position model. Lineage: Bacteria; Bacillati; Actinomycetota; Actinomycetes; Actinomycetales. The record is from RNAcentral.